RNAcentral lists this ribosomal RNA (253 nucleotides) under uncultured bacterium. Its description in RNAcentral is "partial 16S ribosomal RNA". It matches the Rfam family "Bacterial small subunit ribosomal RNA", at positions 524 to 776 of the family's 1533-position model. The record is from RNAcentral.
GACGGAGGAUGCAAGCGUUAUCCGGAAUGAUUGGGCGUAAAGCGUCCGCAGGUGGCAGUUCAAGUCUGCUGUCAAAGACCGGGGCUUAACUUCGGAAAGGCAGUGGAAACUGAACAGCUAGAGUAUGGUAGGGGCAGAGGGAAUUCCUGGUGUAGCGGUGAAAUGCGUAGAGAUCAGGAAGAACACCAGUGGCGAAGGCGCUCUGCUAGGCCGUAACUGACACUGAGGGACGAAAGCUAGGGGAGCAAACAGG